GUAUCACUGUGGUACACGUUUGGUGGAGGAACCAGACUGGAUGUUGGAAGUGAUGUGCGCCCCGCCCUGAAGGUGCUGGGUCCCUCCAGUGAGGAGCUGCAGCAGGGGAAGGCCACGCUCAUGUGUCUGGCCAACAAGGGCUUCCCCUCAGACUGGAGGCUGUCCUGGAAGAUGGACGGCAGCAGUGGCAGCAUCAGAGGGGAGGAGAGCAGGACUCCCGCAGUGCUGCACAAUGACGGCCGCUACAGCUGGAGCAGCACCCUGACACUCACUGCAGACCAGUGGGGGAAGGUGGGCUCUGUGACCUGUGAGGCCACCCAGGGCUCCCAGGCUCUGGUCUCAGAGACACUGAGGAGAGACCAGUGUUCCCAGUCCUGAUGUGACUCACUGGGACUCUGAUCCUGCUUUUCUUCAGCUACUGCUCUCUGUGUGCUCCAACUCUCUCUGUCUCUUUCUUUCUUUUUCUUCUCACAUUAAAAGAAAAAAAAUCAAAUCAUAAUAUUUUCCAUCUCAUAAGGA
Archocentrus centrarchus (flier cichlid) is the source of this 519-nucleotide non-coding RNA. The record is from the annotation of a RefSeq genome assembly. Lineage: Eukaryota; Metazoa; Chordata; Actinopteri; Cichliformes; Cichlidae.